This 444-nucleotide ribosomal RNA is filed under the name uncultured bacterium. Its description in RNAcentral is "SSU rRNA". It matches the Rfam family "Bacterial small subunit ribosomal RNA", at positions 26 to 518 of the family's 1533-position model. The record is from RNAcentral.
AGAACGAACGCUGGCGGCAGGCCUAAUACAUGCAAGUCGAACGCACUCUUCGGAGUGAGUGGCAGACGGGUGAGUAACGCGUGGGAACCUUCCCAAUGGUACGGAAUAACUCCGGGAAACCGGUGCUAAUACCGUAUAAGCCCCUCGGGGGAAAGAUUUAUCGCCAUUGGAUGGGCCCGCGUCGGAUUAGCUAGUUGGUAAGGUAAUGGCUUACCAAGGCUACGAUCCGUAGCUGGUCUGAGAGGAUGAUCAGCCACACUGGGACUGAGACACGGCCCAGACUCCUACGGGAGGCAGCAGUAGGGAAUCUUGGACAAUGGGCGAAAGCCUGAUCCAGCCAUGCCGCGUGAGUGAAGAAGGCCUUAGGGUUGUAAAGCUCUUUUGGCGGGGACGAUAAUGACGGUACCGCAGAAUAAGCCCGGCUAACUUCGUGCCAGCAGCCGC